Molecule: ribosomal RNA, 492 nt
Filed under: uncultured bacterium
Lineage: Bacteria
Description: partial 16S ribosomal RNA
Rfam family: Bacterial small subunit ribosomal RNA
Source: RNAcentral
AGUGAACGCUGGCGGUAGGCCUAACACAUGCAAGUCGAACGGCAGCACAGUAAGAGCUUGCUCUUACGGGUGGCGAGUGGCGGACGGGUGAGGAAUACAUCGGAAUCUACUUUUUCGUGGGGGAUAACGUAGGGAAACUUACGCUAAUACCGCAUACGACCUACUGGUGAAAGCAUGGGAUCUUCGGACCUUGCGCGAUUGAAUGAGCCGAUGUCGGAUUAGCUAGUUGGCGGGGUAAAGGCCCACCAAGGCGACGAUCCGUAGCUGGUCUGAGAGGAUGAUCAGCCACACUGGAACUGAGACACGGUCCAGACUCCUACGGGAGGCAGCAGUGGGGAAUAUUGGACAAUGGGCGCAAGCCUGAUCCAGCCAUACCGCGUGGGUGAAGAAGGCCUUCGGGUUGUAAAGCCCUUUUGUUGGGAAAGAAAAGCAGCAGGUUAAUACCCCGCUGUUCUGACGGUACCCAAAGAAUAAGCACCGGCUAACUUCGUG